This is a long non-coding RNA of Scylla paramamosain (green mud crab), 1215 nucleotides long. RefSeq lists it as uncharacterized. Lineage: Eukaryota; Metazoa; Arthropoda; Malacostraca; Decapoda; Portunidae. The record is from RefSeq and is a predicted model, not a curated record. The transcript has 2 exons.
UUUAUCGUACUUUGCAGUGUUUUCCUGGUGUUUCCACGUGUUUCUAAACUCAGACGUGUAGAUAAGAGUAGAAUGAGUAAGAAAAAUAAGAGAAAUAGAGGAGGAAGAGGAAGGGAGAAGGAAUAGAGGAGGUGAUAAAACAGGAAAAUGCUAAGAAAACAAUAUUUAGGUUAAUUUUUCCUGCUGCCCUGUUUGUCUUUGUAGUAUUUGUCUUCCGUGACAGUGCUUUCAGUGUAUUUGGUGUGUUUAGGGGCUGUUGGAGUGUGUCUGGAGGUGUUAAGGGGGUGUGCGCGCACACACACACACCUCUCUCUCUCUCUCUCUCUCUCUCUCUCUCUCUCUCUCUCUCUCUCUCUCUCUCUCUCUCUCUCUCUCUCUCUCUCUCUCUCUCUAUAUAUAUAUAUAUAUAUAUAUAACCUAAAUUCUGUAUUUGGAAAGUGGCAGUUUUGCAUAAUAUUUGGAAUAAUUACAUAUGUACGAUAAUUUUACCAGAAGUAUAAUAAUUUCAACCUGUGUAGUACGAUAUGGCCAAAACAAUCUGGCAGGCAUCACUCAUAGCCAAGUCGUGCUUAAAGACAGGCAGGAUGGUGACCGAGGUAAAUACUUUAAUUUUGUAGUAAAAACUGAUUGUCAUAUUGCCAAGUUAAUUGCAUGUAUUGUAAUGAAUAUUGUAAUAUAUUGAAAGUGUUUAAUAUCAGUGUAUGAUGUUAUUUUGUAAGAAAUUGAGACUGAGAACUUGUUCGCAGUUCUUACGGUCAUGCCUACCUCAUCAAUAAACAUGUCAGGAAGAACUAUCUUUUCUCGACCCUACGAUGAUGGGUGUGAUCAGUAAAACAGAUCACCUGAGAGCCAAUUGAUGCCCAGCCGGUGCGGCUACAAUGGGAGUUAUUUCUCUUAGUAGGCUAUGGAGGGCGCGCUCUCCUUUUCCAGCAGAGACUAUCUUUGUACUAGAAGGAUACAGUGAUAUAUCAGUUUGCAAGCCUUGACAGUGGAAGAAGUUAACACCUUAAGCAGAUACAGAUAUUACUGUUUUGUCAUGAAAUGCCAUCUUUAUUUACCUUCUUCAGUUCCAUUUUGUAAUUACCAAAGUACCAAAAUUUGAUUUGUGUAGCAAAUGACACAUACACUGUUUAUGAGAUUUUUUUGUGGCUUUAUUAGAGAAAUAUUUUUGCAGAGUAUGUAGUGUACUGAUAAUAUAUGACUCUAAAAAUGGUU